UUAUAGAAUAUGAUCUAACACUGGACCACCAUGGUUGAGAUAUAUUUCCAGGUAUAGUAACUCAGACACAAACAAGUGAACAAUACUAAGUUCAACAAAAUGCAUGAUAGCCAAAUGAAGUGGCAUUACACCUUCGCAUUCCAUGUUCGUUUGAUUCACAUCUGCUCCGGCAUCAAGCAGUAACCUCACAAUGCUUGGGUCUCCUGUAUUUACUGCGGCAUGUAGCAAACCGUUUCCCGAUUUUGAUAUUUGUUGCAUGUCGACAGCUUUAUCUCUCUGGAUUGAAAAUAUAAACGUCAUUAACCCAUUGAGUGGCAGCACCGACUCCCCUUGACAAGUAAAAUCGUUUGGCAUUUAGACAGAGGUACAUAACUGUAACAUAAUAAAGUAGGGCACAUCAUGGCACUUUGCCACUUAAAAGGG
Paramuricea clavata is the source of this 423-nucleotide non-coding RNA. Lineage: Eukaryota; Metazoa; Cnidaria; Anthozoa; Malacalcyonacea; Plexauridae. The record is from the annotation of a GenBank genome assembly.